This 301-nucleotide ribosomal RNA is filed under the name uncultured bacterium. Its description in RNAcentral is "partial 16S ribosomal RNA". It matches the Rfam family "Bacterial small subunit ribosomal RNA", at positions 509 to 807 of the family's 1533-position model. The record is from RNAcentral.
CAGCAGCCGCGGGAAUACGUAGGUGGCAAGCGUUGUCCGGAAUUAUUGGGCGUAAAGGGCUCGCAGGCGGUUUCUUAAGUCUGAUGUGAAAGCCCCCGGCUCAACCGGGGAGGGUCAUUGGAAACUGGGAAACUUGAGUGCAGAAGAGGAGAGUGGAAUUCCACGUGUAGCGGUGAAAUGCGUAGAGAUGUGGAGGAACACCAGUGGCGAAGGCGACUCUCUGGUCUGUAACUGACGCUGAGGAGCGAAAGCGUGGGGAGCGAGCAGGAUUAGAUACCCCCGUAGUCCCUGUCUCUUAUAC